CAGCCGUAAACUAUGCGCGUUAGGUGUACUGGUGACCACGAGUCACCGGGUGCCGAAGGGAAACCGUGAAACGUGCCGCCUGGGAAGUACGGUCGCAAGGCUGAAACUUAAAGGGAUUGGCGGGGGAGCACCACAACGGGUGGAGCCUGCGGUUUAAUUGGACUCAACGCCGGAAAUCUCACCGGAUAGGACAGACAUAUGAUAGUCGGGCUGAAGACUCUACUUGAUGAUCUGAGAGGAGGUGCAUGGCGUCAGUGACU
RNAcentral lists this ribosomal RNA (260 nucleotides) under uncultured archaeon. RNAcentral describes it as "partial 16S ribosomal RNA". It matches the Rfam family "Archaeal small subunit ribosomal RNA", at positions 748 to 1008 of the family's 1478-position model. The record is from RNAcentral.